This is a non-coding RNA of Onthophagus taurus, 1207 nucleotides long. Lineage: Eukaryota; Metazoa; Arthropoda; Insecta; Coleoptera; Scarabaeidae. The record is from RefSeq and is a predicted model, not a curated record.
UUAAAGUAAAAUGAAAUUUCUUUAAUAAAUUUGAGGUUAUUUUUGGUUGCCAGGCAACGAAAUAAAUAUGGAAGAAUUGUCAUUGUCAUUAUUGAAAAAUGGAAUGGAAUUUUAGUCUUGUGGAAUGGAAUUGGUCGUGUUAGUUAUAGUUUUAGUUCAAUGAAAAUAUACAACAAUGUAACACUGAAUAACAGUUAAAACUAGAAGUAACACUAGACCUAGAACUAGAAACAAUCGGGUUUAGCCAUGCAUCUUCAGUUAAACCCGAAAAAAUAAGAUUCAAAUUUUAAAUUUGUUGGUAUCUUGGAAUAUGCUUGACUAAUUUCAUGGGUGUUUACAACGAAAAUGUCAAAAUAAAUUUAAACCAAAUUGGAUUUAAAUUUUAUUAAUAAUUAUAAAAUAAACAAUUUUGUUUAAAAUCAAAGAAAUAAAGGUAAAAUAAGCAACGAAAUAAAUAUGGAAGAAUGGUCAUUAUUGAAAAAUGGAAUGGAACUUUAUUGAUAAAAAUAAUGUUGGGAACGUUUUAAUUAAACACAAGAAGAACUGUGAAUAAAGGAGUAACUGUUUUAAAAAUUCUUCAUCUCAAAAAGAACGGUUUUUCUGAGAAGGCUGAAGAAGGAAAGAUUAAAAGAGAAAAAAGGGGCAACGUCGCAAAUGAACCAACCGCGUAGAAUGUGACUAUAUGCGGAUAGGAAUCGGAGAGUCGGGCGGCGGCCCCAGCCUCCGGGGAGACUGUAACAGCCGUCGCCGUCGUCGAGAGAGAGGCUGAGCUCAUGGAUUUUUCUAGCGAGCAAUCCGUGGGAACGGCGGCAACGACGGCAACACCGCUCGAUCGGCUCCAUUCAUAGUUUUCAACAUUCCAAAGACCCCCCCACUCCACUACCCCUCGCACCCGGGGGGGCCACCCAGCGUCUCAAGACCCGUCCGACUACAUUCCAUACCAAUCGCUGAAUGACCGUAUACUUUUUCAAAAAAAUCCACAUUCCUCAAACGAAAUAAUGAUACAAAAAAAAAACAUGAAAAAAAUAUAGUUUUAGAACCGCCAUUUUAAAACAAAAAAGAAAAUAAAAGAAACCAUAUGGGUCAAAGAUAUCUAUGGGUUACGAUCUAGUUUUUUUGAUUACAUGAAUCGUUUAAUUAUAAAAAAUAUAAUAAUUGUAACAAACGAUUAUUUAUUUUGUUGAAAUAAUAAAAGGAAAAAGAAUGA